This 398-nucleotide ribosomal RNA is filed under the name uncultured bacterium. RNAcentral's name for it is "bacterial SSU rRNA". It matches the Rfam family "Bacterial small subunit ribosomal RNA", at positions 361 to 776 of the family's 1533-position model. The record is from RNAcentral.
AUCUUGCGCAAUGGGCGAAAGCCUGACGCAGCAACGCCGCGUGCGGGAGGAAGGCCUUCGGGUUGUAAACCGCUUUCAGCAGGGACGAAAAUGACGGUACCUGCAGAAGAAGCCCCGGCUAACUACGUGCCAGCAGCCGCGGUAAUACGUAGGGGGCAAGCGUUGUCCGGAUUUAUUGGGCGUAAAGAGCUCGUAGGCGGUUCCGUAAGUUGAGAGUCAAAUCUCUGGGCUCAACCCAGAGCCGCUCUCAAUACUGCGGUGACUCGAGUCCGGUAGAGGAGUGUGGAAUUCCUGGUGUAGCGGUGAAAUGCGCAGAUAUCAGGAGGAACACCAACGGCGAAGGCAGCACUCUGGGCCGGUACUGACGCUGAGGAGCGAAAGCGUGGGGAGCGAACAGG